AUGGCCCUCAGCAUCCCCCUCACACGCCGGCUCCUGACAUCAGAGACCUGUAGCCACCCCCUGCAGGCAGUCAUCAGCGUGGUCCUCAACUCCUGCCAAGGGCAGCGGGCUGUGCACUCAGGCAGCUGGGACCAAAGCCACCGAGGAACCAAGGCUGGAGCCGGCGACCUGAUGAACCCCCUGGGUUUUUCUGCCCUGCUGGCUCUGGGAAGGCAAGAACGAAAGUGUCAUUUAGUGGCAGAGACUUUAGGGAGCCUGGUAUGGCCAAGCCCUAGCUCCCUGCAGCAGUGCCCCCAGGACAGCUGGGCCUGGGUCUCCAGUGGGUUGGAGUUUUCUGAACGCGGCUGUGGGUUGACCUCGCACCCGGUGACCACACCAGGAGGUGAGGCAUGCGUGGCCCAGCGCGGGGGCCCUGCCCGUGGCCGUGUGGGGUCGGGUGUCCGGCUCGGGGCUUCUGGGUCCCCUGCUCCCCAAAGGUGUGCAGCUCCUGCAUCCCCUGCCAGGUCCUCUGGGUCUAAGAGGGUCCCUCUUGUCCAGCGCGCCAGGCUCCACCUUCCCGCGACCCCUCACCAGCUGGGUGCCUCCCCCUGGCUGGAACAGCAGCCCUGCCUGGUCAUGGGCCUGCCUCUCCACUGUGUCCUCCCUGACACAGCCAGAGCCAUGCUUCUAACCUGCACACCCUCUCCCCGCGGCCAAGCCCACCAGACACCAGGCGGCUGUAAAUGGCCCACUGGGCCUGCUGUGUAGAAUGGGACCCUCUGCCCUGUUUUCCCAGGAGGCUCUUACAUGGGGCUGCAGCUGGGGGGUGACAUGCCUGCCAAGUGUGUGGGGAGGCUCCAGCCCGGUAAGAUGGGAUCCAGGACUGUGAGACUGUGACCCAGGGCAGGUGGUGGCAGCUCGGCCUUCCUGGUCCCAGGUGGAGAGACAGGGUGAGGCUCCUCCUCGUGGGACCUGGAGGGGAGGGGUUGCCUGUGUAAUCAGCCCAGCCUCGGACGUCAGCAAUCCAUGCUUCUUAGGAAAGGCCACAGGGAAUCACAGACUCGGUGUGACUUUCUCAGAGUGCUAUGGCACACCUGUGGGGUUUCCCAGCUCAUCCUGUCCAGCGGGACCAGGCGGAGGCCCAGCCCUGUUGUCGGAGUGACCUUCGAGCUCUGACCACAGGCCACGUGUGAGCAGGAGCCAUGAGUCAAUCAGAUGUCAUCCAGGGCGGUGGCUGAGGAGUGGUGACUGACCAGACGGGAAGGCGGGGAAGGGUCUAGAUUUGAAUGUGUGCAAAGGCUGGUAGACUCCUCCAGAUGGAUGAGCCCCGUCCUCUGGCCUCUGUGAGGCCAGACCCCUGCAACAGCCAAGUCCAGGGCCCCAAGUCAGCCCUGCACCUGGCCCAGGCCUCGGACCCUGAUGGGGCUCACCCCCUGAGCUCACCCUGGCUCUGCAGGGAGCUUUGUCGUGAUCCUUCGCGGGUGAGGAUUACGUAGAGACGUGACGAAGCACAAAAACCGGUGGUUGACGGGUUGCCAGGUGCCUACGUCAGAGCUCAUUAAAUUACACAUUAAAUAGAUGUAACUUGCUCUGUGUCAAUCACACCUAAUUCAAAUUGUAAAAAAUUAGACUCAAGAGUUUUAACACUUGGGAGUGUUUUAUCAGAUGCGCCUCAAGAUUCUAAAUUCAAAUGCACACUGAAUAAAACAUUUAGGUUUAUCUCCAAGCACAGUGGCUCACACCUGUAAUCCCAGCAUUUCG
RNAcentral lists this long non-coding RNA (1740 nucleotides) under Macaca fascicularis (crab-eating macaque). Its description in RNAcentral is "lncRNA (ENSMFAG00000061911.1)". Lineage: Eukaryota; Metazoa; Chordata; Mammalia; Primates; Cercopithecidae. The record is from RNAcentral.